CUAGCAGUAUCAGAGUUUGUCCUGGCUCAGAGCGAACGCUGGCGGCAGGCCUAACACAUGCAAGUCGAACGGAUCCUUCGGGAUUAGUGGCGGACGGGUGAGUAACACGUGGGAACGUGCCCUUUGGUUCGGAACAACUCAGGGAAACUUGAGCUAAUACCGGAUGUGCCCUUCGGGGGAAAGAUUUAUCGCCAUUGGGGCGGCCCGCGUCUGAUUAGCUAGUUGGUGAGGUAAAGGCUCACCAAGGCGACGAUCAGUAGCUGGUCUGAGAGGAUGAUCAGCCACAUUGGGACUGAGACACGGCCCAA
This 308-nucleotide ribosomal RNA is filed under the name uncultured bacterium. Its description in RNAcentral is "partial 16S ribosomal RNA". It matches the Rfam family "Bacterial small subunit ribosomal RNA", at positions 1 to 334 of the family's 1533-position model. The record is from RNAcentral.